This 125-nucleotide small RNA is filed under the name Marmota monax (woodchuck). The record is from RNAcentral. Lineage: Eukaryota; Metazoa; Chordata; Mammalia; Rodentia; Sciuridae.
GCCAGGCGCGGGGGGCGCACGCCUCUAAUCCCAGCGGCUGGGAGGCUGGGGCAGGAGAAUCAUGAGUUCAAGGCCAGCCUCAGCAAAGGUGAGGUGAUAAGCAACUCAGUGAGACCCUGUCUCUA